UACGAAGGGUGCAAGCGUUACUCGGAAUUACUGGGCGUAAAGCGUGCGUAGGUGGUUCGUUAAGUCUGAUGUGAAAGCCCUGGGCUCAACCUGGGAAUGGCAUUGGAAACUGGCGGCCUAGAGUGCGGUAGAGGGUAGUGGAAUUCCCGGUGUAGCAGUGAAAUGCGUAGAGAUCGGGAGGAACAUCCGUGGCGAAGGCGACUACCUGGACCAGCACUGACACUGAGGCACGAAAGCGUGGGGAGCAAACAGG
RNAcentral lists this ribosomal RNA (253 nucleotides) under uncultured bacterium. Its description in RNAcentral is "partial 16S ribosomal RNA". It matches the Rfam family "Bacterial small subunit ribosomal RNA", at positions 524 to 776 of the family's 1533-position model. The record is from RNAcentral.